Long non-coding RNA from Cyprinus carpio (common carp), 745 nucleotides. RefSeq lists it as uncharacterized. The record is from RefSeq and is a predicted model, not a curated record. Lineage: Eukaryota; Metazoa; Chordata; Actinopteri; Cypriniformes; Cyprinidae.
CGGCUUUAUUAACUAUUACGUAAUUGAUAUGUUAUUUGUUGCAAGAAGUCUUAAGAUUAUACCUCAAUAUGUGUUUGUUUUUUUGUUUGUUUGUUUGUUUUUUACCUCAGAGAUCAGCGCGAUACUCUCACCAAGCAGGAAUGUUUAGAUGAUGCAUGCUCUGACACGAAGAAGCAUCCCAAAGAGCAGGUCACCCCAAAGACUGUCUCUCUUCACCAUAACAUCACACCAGGCACUUUGACAGUGAAGGAUCAAAGAACACAACACCAUCGGCCAUAGCUGCGUCCCCCGUUCAGCUCGCACUGGACCCUCAGAACGCGUGGCCUUUGUGUUGGACCAUAGAUGGACAGAUCUAAUGAGAACUGCCCAUGAUCAUCACUUGGUAACACACCAUGGGAGCAAGGAUCUUCUUAAACAGGUAGAUGGCUUGUUUUUGUUUUGUUUUUUUUUUCUUCUUCCUGUGUUCUCCACAACUUUAGAUUGUUUUAUUUUUACUAUUAUUGUAGUUGUUGUUGUUGUUGUUUAAUCUACCAUUUUAAAUUAAUUUAUUUCCAUUUGUUAAUUUAAAUACCAGAAGUAUUAUUUGCACUGUACUUUAGUGUGUUUUUUAAAUUAAUUGUAUUGACUUGCAUUGUUAUUUUAUCUUGCUCAGUUUUGUAAACACUAAAUGUUAGUAACUGCUAUUAUUAAAUGCUGUAAAUAAUUAUUUAAUUUAAAAUACUCUACCAGCCAAAUGUUUUUCAGC